GGAGGGGGUCGUCACCUAUUUAAUGACGUAUUCAAAUAUCAUAUACACCCACCGUGGUCUUUCUCCGUCAUCUCACGGGUAACUUGACAAACACGACUUCAAAUAAUUUCACAGGCUAGCUUCCGCAGGGGGUUGGAAUUCAACGCCAUACGGUAUUAGUUUACAAAACAGCACCACCGGGCGGGUGCUAUUGGCCGGCCUCGGGUUCCCUCAGCCCUCCGGGCAUUGUGAACUUCUAACUUGGGCUGAAUUUGGAUACGCCCGCUCGCCGACUCGCUGAAUAAUGUAAAUGUCCUCAGGUUCUCAGAGAGACGCGGCGCAGCUUCCCCUGAUCAUAUGGUAACGGAUCGUAGCUAUUCGCAGUCCGGAGGAUGAGCACGCAGGUCAUGCGUAAAGAAAAGGUUAAUGGGGAAUAAAGAUGUUAAGCUUCUGCUAAAAAUCGAGUCGAACCGGAUGGGUUCGUGAACGUCAGGCUGCCGGCGUGUUUGCGCUAGACACAGACGACGCUAGUUAACCUCGCUGGAGGUGCAAGUUGUUGAAUUUGCUUUUGGUUUGUUGCCUUUUCGCUUCUGCAAAAAAAUAAAAUGGGAUGCUCGUCAAGUACCCAGACCCUGUCGCAAGAAGGGAACAGACCGGGCACGAAAGCCGAAGAAAGUAACGGAGCUAGUAACACAAUCGUGGCUCAGAAUCAGAACAGAGCCAGUGCUGAGGACUGUGAAACUAUAGCAGACCAAGUUCCUCUUCCGAUCCAGAGUUUCGAGGAUAUCCCCUGCUCACAGGACCAGCGGCACUGGUUCAGUGCGGAGCCCCCGGGGGCAGUCCCCGAGAGUCCCCAUGACACCGAGCCCCCCCAGGAUGACACAGCGGCACUGUCUGAGGCCCCCGCAGAACUACAGCUCCUUGCUCAUGCGCCCGCAGCCGCCGAGCAGCAGGCCGAGGCGGAGGAGACGUCCGCUACCCCGGGGGCCGCCGCCGCCGUCGUCUCUUCGGGCUGCGCGACGCCCGACCCAGAGGACGAGCCAGACGCGCCCGGCGCUCCAGACGCCGAGCCGCCCGGCGAACCCGGGGCUCAGGACGCCGCCUCAGAAGAUGACCCCGCGGGCAAGGAGGCGGCAGACGCCAGCGCGGAGGGCAGCGCAGAAGACUCGUCCAGCUGCCCAGCCGGGGAGUCAGAGGUGACACCAGUGGAGGCCGACAUGCCCCCCGCCUCCGCUGAGACCGCAGAGGAAACCCAGACCUCAGAGAGCCAGGUCGAAGGCGAGACGGGGGAGAAGGUGGAAGAGGAGACACAGCAGGAGACAAAGCCAGCAGAGCCGGCAGACACGGAGCAGGCAGAGGUGGAGGAGCUAGUGGACACUCUCUCUGCUACCAGCGUGGAGUAA
This 1382-nucleotide long non-coding RNA is filed under the name Lepisosteus oculatus (spotted gar). RNAcentral describes it as "lncRNA (ENSLOCG00000022413.1)". Lineage: Eukaryota; Metazoa; Chordata; Actinopteri; Semionotiformes; Lepisosteidae. The record is from RNAcentral.